RNAcentral lists this ribosomal RNA (445 nucleotides) under uncultured bacterium. RNAcentral's name for it is "partial 16S ribosomal RNA". It matches the Rfam family "Bacterial small subunit ribosomal RNA", at positions 354 to 796 of the family's 1533-position model. The record is from RNAcentral.
GUGAGGAAUAUUGCGCAAUGGAGGCAACUCUGACGCAGCCAUGCCGCGUGCAGGAAGAAGGCGCUACGCGUUGUAAACUGCUUUUAACCGGGAAGAAACCCCAGGACGUGUCCUGGGUUGACGGUACCGGAGGAAUAAGCACCGGCUAACUUCGUGCCAGCAGCCGCGGUAAUACGAAGGGUGCAAGCGUUAUCCGGAUUCAUUGGGGUUAAAGGGUGCGUAGGCGGCGAGUUAAGUCAGUGGUGAAAUCCUGCAGAUUAUCUGUAGACUUGCCAUUGAUACUGGCGCUCUUGAGUGCGCUUGAAGUGGGCGGAAUGUGCCGUGUAGCGGUGAAAUGCUUAGAUAUGGCACAGAACACCAAUUGCGAAGGCAGCUCACUAAGGCGAUACUGACGCUGAGGCACGAAAGCGUGGGGAUCGAACAGGAUUAGAUACCCGAGUAGUCC